UCGAGAAUCAUUCGCAAUGGGCGAAAGCCUGACGAUGCGACGCCGUGUGAGCGAUGAAGGCCUUAGGGUCGUAAAGCUCUUUCGCUUGGGAACAAGAGAAACUGACUAAUAUUCAGUGGAUUUGAGGGUACCAGGUAAAGAAGCACCGGCUAACUCCGUGCCAGCAGCUGCGGUAAUACGGAGGGUGCAAGCAUUAAUCGGAUUUAUUGGGCGUAAAGGGCGCGUAGGCGGAAAGACAAGUCAGAUGUGAAAUCCCGGGGCUCAACCUCGGAACAGCAUUUGAAACUAUCUUUCUAGAGGGUAGGCGGAGAAAACGGAAUUCCACAAGUAGCGGUGAAAUGCGUAGAUAUGUGGAAGAACACCGGUGGCGAAGGCGGUUUUCUAGCUUAUUCCUGACGCUGAGGCGCGAAAGCAAGGGGAUCAAACAGG
Molecule: ribosomal RNA, 429 nt
Filed under: uncultured bacterium
Lineage: Bacteria
Description: bacterial SSU rRNA
Rfam family: Bacterial small subunit ribosomal RNA
Source: RNAcentral